This 475-nucleotide ribosomal RNA is filed under the name uncultured bacterium. RNAcentral describes it as "bacterial SSU rRNA". It matches the Rfam family "Bacterial small subunit ribosomal RNA", at positions 335 to 801 of the family's 1533-position model. The record is from RNAcentral.
ACUCCUACGGGAGGCAGCAGUGGGGAAUAUUGGACAAUGGGCGAAAGCCUGAUCCAGCCAUGCCGCGUGUGUGAAGAAGGUCUUCGGAUUGUAAAGCACUUUAAGUUGGGAGGAAGGGCAGUUACCUAAUACGUGAUUGUUUUGACGUUACCGACAGAAUAAGCACCGGCUAACUCUGUGCCAGCAGCCGCGGUAAUACAGAGGGUGCAAGCGUUAAUCGGAAUUACUGGGCGUAAAGCGCGCGUAGGUGGUUAGUUAAGUUGGAUGUGAAAUCCCCGGGGCUCAACCUGGGGAACUGCAUUCAAAACUGACUGACUAGAGUAUGGUAGAGGGUGGUGGAAUUUCCUGUGUAGCGGUGAAAUGCGUAGAUAUAGGAAGGAACACCAGUGGCGAAGGCGACCACCUGGACUGAUACUGACACUGAGGUGCGAAAGCGUGGGGAGCAAACAGGAUUAGACACCCUGGUAGCUACGAG